This is a non-coding RNA of Hypoxylon cercidicola, 92 nucleotides long. NCBI's taxonomy places the organism in Eukaryota, Fungi, Ascomycota, Sordariomycetes, Xylariales, Hypoxylaceae. The record is from the annotation of a GenBank genome assembly.
GCGGGGAUAGCUCAGUUGGGAGAGCGUCAGACUGAAGUCGCAACUUCAAUCACUAAAUCUGAAGGUCGUGUGUUCGAUCCACACUCACCGCA